UAUUAAUCAUGCAUUUAACUGCAUCCAUAUAUUCUGCCAACAAUGCCUUACUCUAUACUGUAUAAUGGCAUUUUGAAUCAAUCCAUUUUUAAAACAGCUUAUAAAGUUGGUUUAAGCAUACUGAGAAUUUGAUAUUUUUGACUGAUAUGAUUGUUUCAUAUCUGCAAAGUAGUUAAAACGCUGUCAGUGCCACUUUAAGCAUCAAAAUACAACAACUUGCCUAGCUAACAGCUAAAUGUUUUUUUACUUCUAAUUCUAAUUUCGAGGCUCCACAUGUGAUCAUGGAAAAUAUUACUUUAAUGUUAUUUCCAACAACCAACUCCGCCGUAAAUCAAGCUGCACGUUGAGUUUGCCGAAUGGUAAGUCACCUUGGCAAUGGCAAGGAGUGGAAUGUUAGCUAAAGACUGGUACCCAGAAUAGUGGUAACUAGUGACAACCUGCCCAAACGCUUGAUGUUGUUAGACGUGACGUAGAGUCCUAUACCAAUGGGGCUUUAGAUGAGACGGAUAACGAAGAAAGCUGGGAGAACUGUGCCUGCUGUCAGAAUGGGUUGCCAAGCAGGAGCCAUUUGCAGGAAAUACUGUAGGCCUCAAUGGUCGCUAGCCAAAUGUAGUGGACCUUACUGUAAGUACAUAGUCAAGAUACAGCUGUCCAUUGUCCAGGUGAGGGAGCUAUAGACCAACAUCAGACCAUAUCUUAAGCCAGCAGAACUAUCUGCAUCGACUGGGAUGCAGUGGAGAGGAACUUUUAAGUUCCUCAGCGUGCACGUCAGAGGAGCUGACAUGGACCAAUCUCACUGACACCAUGGUGUAGAAGGCACAACAACUCCCCUUCAACCUCCGGCAUGGAGCCUCAGAUCCUCAAGAAGUUCAACAGCUGCACCAUCGAGAGCAUCUUGACGGGCUGCAUCACUGCUUGGUAUGGCAACUACACUUUCCUCAACCACAAGGCUCUACAGAGGGUGGUGUGGAUAGCCAAAUACAUCAUUGGGGGCGAGCUCCUUGCAGGACAUUCACCUCCCUGACCAAGGCCCUUCUCCCCCCGAUUGCUCAGUUUGGCUGGGCGGCCAGCUCUAGGAAGAGUCUUGGUGGUUCCAAACUUCUUACAUUUAAGAAAGAUGGAGGGCACUAUGUUCUUGAGGACUUUUAAUGCUGCAGACAUUUUUAGGUACCCUUCCUCAGAUCAGUUUCUCAACAUGACCAAAGUGUCUCCUCCCCUUCAUCUACACUGAUUUGAAGUGCAUUUAGUGACAUCAAUAAGGGAUCAUAGCUUU
Long non-coding RNA from Salvelinus sp. IW2-2015, 1273 nucleotides. RefSeq lists it as uncharacterized. NCBI's taxonomy places the organism in Eukaryota, Metazoa, Chordata, Actinopteri, Salmoniformes, Salmonidae. The record is from RefSeq and is a predicted model, not a curated record.